CAAAGGUUUGGUCCUAGCCUUGCUAUUAAUUUUUACUACGCUUACACAUGCAAGUAUCUGCACACCCGUGAAAAUGCCCUUUACUACCCGUAAGUAGAACAGGAGCAGAUAUCAGGCACUGAUACUGCCAAAGACAUCUUGUUUAACCACACCCCCAAGGGAGCUCAGCAGUGAUAAACAUUGAACAUAAGCGACACAAGCUUGAAUCAGCGAUAGUUAACAGAGUCGGUAAAUCUCGUGCCAGCCGCCGCGGUUAUACGAGAGACUCAAAUUAAUCUAAUCGGCCCAAAGAGUGGUUAGGAGCGCAAAUAAAUAGGGUUAAAAACUAACCCCGCUGUCGUACGCAAAGGUUAAAAAAAGCACAACGCCGAAAGUAGCCCUACAAAAAUACCACUGAACCCACGACAGCUAGGACACAAACUGGGAUUAGAUACCCCACUAUGCCUAGCUAUAAACUUUGACCCAUAUCCGCCAGAGUACUACGAGCAACAGCUUAAAACUCAAAGGACUUGGCGGUGCUCUACACCCACCUAGAGGAGCCUGUUCUGUAAUCGAUAAUCCACGAUAAACCUCACCGCUUGUUGCCAAUACAGCCUAUAUACCACCGUCCAGCCCACCCUUCAAAGGGUAAAAAGUAGGCAAAAUUAUAUACAUAAGAACGUCAGGUCAAGGUGUAGCAAAUAAAGCGGGAAGAAAUGGGCUACAUUUUCUAAUCUAGAAAACACGGAAAAGUCUGUGAAAUAAGACUACAAAGGAGGAUUUAGCAGUAAAAAGAAAAAAGAGCGUUCUUUUUAAACCGGCAAUGGAGCGCGCACACACCGCCCGUCACCCUCUUCAAGAACUAUUAGAUAUUAAAUAAACAAAGAAGAAAAAAGAAGAAGAGGCAAGUCGUAACAUGGUAAGUUUACCGGAAGGUGAACUUGGAA
This 926-nucleotide non-coding RNA is filed under the name Triturus cristatus (warty newt). Its description in RNAcentral is "12S ribosomal RNA". It matches the Rfam family "Bacterial small subunit ribosomal RNA". The record is from RNAcentral. Lineage: Eukaryota; Metazoa; Chordata; Amphibia; Caudata; Salamandridae.